UCGAAAGAUAUAAUCUUUGACGUUGAUGUAGUAAAUUGGACUAUAAUAAUUGUAAUACCCAAAUUUUGCCUGGCCCAAACACUAAAAAACCAAAUACAAUUACAAAUCCAAUAAAACCUGGGCCCAAUCAAUAAUAAACUAGAAUAAAAUAAAAAUAAUAGUAGUCCAGUAUUAGCCUAAAACCCAUACCCAAAUACAUAGCCCAAAUCAUUUUAAACUACCCAAAACUAACCCGAUUUGACCCAACUAUAAUGACCCAAACCACUAACCCUAAGCUUAUUACACCAAAAAAUAGAACCAAACCCUAACAACAUUCAGCCCCAGCCAGCACCGCAACCACCAGGCCCUUCUGCGCGCGUGUGCCAGCAGUUAUCGCACCUCUGCACGCGCCAUGCGCGUCUUCCUUCCAGGCUAUACCUGCAACAAACCACGAACGACACCAGCAGAGCAACAAAUAGCAGCAAAUGAAAAGAAAACACUAGAAUAGUAGUAGAAAAAAAAAAGAAAAUAGGAAAAUAGUUUCCGUAAAUUUUGCACGGCUAUAUAAAGUUGUUUUCGAAUCUGUAAAAAGGAUUACGCACAUGCAGAUUGAAUACAAAAAAAUCGAAAAAUAUUCAGAGAAAUCGAAGCAAAAAAUAUAUAUUUUUUCUUUUCUUUUCUCUUUCUUUUCUUUUCUCUUUUAUUCAUUAGUUGUGUGCUAAAUAAAAUAAAAACGAGAAGGUAGAAAGCUAGGAGUUUACCUGAUACCUGAACGUCAUUUACUCUGUCGCAAUCGGAGCCAGACGAGUGUUUGGGGUUCUAAACGGACGGUCUACAGAGCGGCGCGGAUGAUUUCUUUACUUUAGGUUUUUUAAAAAA
Molecule: long non-coding RNA, 858 nt
Filed under: Gossypium barbadense (sea-island cotton)
Lineage: Eukaryota; Viridiplantae; Streptophyta; Magnoliopsida; Malvales; Malvaceae
Description: long non-coding RNA (GBAR_LNC022245)
Source: RNAcentral